CAGCAUCCCCUUCAUGUCCUUCGACAUAGGCUCCACUGCAGCGUCCACCUCCUUCGGGCCAAUGAAAGCUUCCAUAGGGCUCGUCGUGUCGCUCGCCGAUGGCGGGGACGAGCAUCGCGGCCUCAUAGCGUACCUUUUCAACAAAAUCAUAUUUUUUUGUCUCUUUCGUCUUCGAUCUUCCAAAUCUGAUUACAGUGAUGAUGUGGGUGUGUGGGCGAAGCUCUGAUUCCCUUGUUAGAGUUUCGUGAGAAGGAGGUGAUGCACCAUUAUGAGGUGGAUACUGAUGCCGAGGUCUUGAAGUUUCUAGGGAGAACCAAAGGCAUAUCCUGUAACCCCUUGGAGUUGAAAGGCUUGCCAUGAGGUAUAAUACAUGCUGAUUCAGAUUUGGAGUUAAGACCAUUAUGGUCGAGAAGCAGUUCAAGGUCAAAGAAGCAAAACAAUUGUAUUCUUAAGUGAGAUUAUGGAUCAGAAAGCAGGGGAUGGCAGCAGUGUGAAGAAAAUAAUAUCAUCAUGUGAUGUUGAGGCUUUGAAGAAGUGUUUGGAAGAGAAUAAGGGAGACUAUGUCAAAUGUCAGUCACAGAUUGAGGCUUUUAAAGCAUCAUGCUCGCUCAAGAAACCAAACCCCUCUUGAUUUUGUCAAUUCUUGUUUUCAUCUUGAAAUUCUGUGAUUGACAUUCAUGGUUUGUUUCAAAUGGCUCUUUUAUAUGCUUGUUCUAAUGAUAAAAUGCCAUCAUGUCUUAUGAUCAGCAAAUAUGUUGAUCAUUGUUCAUAG
This is a non-coding RNA of Cajanus cajan (pigeon pea), 772 nucleotides long. NCBI's taxonomy places the organism in Eukaryota, Viridiplantae, Streptophyta, Magnoliopsida, Fabales, Fabaceae. The record is from RefSeq and is a predicted model, not a curated record.